RNAcentral lists this transfer RNA (70 nucleotides) under Scolopsis vosmeri (whitecheek monocle bream). RNAcentral describes it as "tRNA-Met". It matches the Rfam family "tRNA". Rfam says of the family: Transfer RNA (tRNA) molecules are approximately 80 nucleotides in length. Their secondary structure includes four short double-helical elements and three loops (D, anti-codon, and T loops). The record is from RNAcentral. Lineage: Eukaryota; Metazoa; Chordata; Actinopteri; Spariformes; Nemipteridae.
AGUACAGUAAGUUAUUUUAAACUAUCGGGCCCAUACCCCUAAAAAACAGGUUAAAUUCCUGUCUCUACUA